CCUACGGGGGGCUGCAGUGAGGAAUAUUGGUCAAUGGACGAGAGUCUGAACCAGCCAAGUAGCGUGAAGGAUGACUGCCCUAUGGGUUGUAAACUUCUUUUAUAUGGGAAUAAAAUGUUCCACGUGUGGGAUUUUGUAUGUACCAUAUGAAUAAGGAUCGGCUAACUCCGUGCCAGCAGCCGCGGUAAUACGGAGGAUCCGAGCGUUAUCCGGAUUUAUUGGGUUUAAAGGGAGCGUAGGUGGAUUGUUAAGUCAGUUGUGAAAGUUUGCGGCUCAACCGUAAAAUUGCAGUUGAAAAGGGCAGUCUUGAGUACAGUAGAGGUGGGCGGAAUUCGUGGUGUAGCGGUGAAAUGCUUAGAUAUCACGAAGAACUCCGAUUGCGAAGGCAGCUUACUGGACUGCAACUGACACUGAGGCUCGAAAGUGUGGGUAUCAAACAGGAUUAGAUACCCUGGUAGUC
Molecule: ribosomal RNA, 460 nt
Filed under: uncultured bacterium
Lineage: Bacteria
Description: partial 16S ribosomal RNA
Rfam family: Bacterial small subunit ribosomal RNA
Source: RNAcentral